GACGAACGCUGGCGGCGUGCCUAAUACAUGCAAGUCGAACGCAGUGGGGACGGGUGAGUAACACGUGGGUAACCUCCCAUCAGAGGGGAUAACACUUGGAAACAGGUGCUAAACCGAUACUGAUGGAUGAACCCGCGGUGCAUUAGCUAGUUGGUGGGGUAACGGCCUACCAAGGCCACGAUCCGUAACUGACCUUAGAGGAUGAUCGGUCACACUGGCAGUGAGACACGGUCCAGACUCCUAAGGGAGGCAGCAGUGGGGAAUCGUUGACAAUGGGCGAAAGCCUUAUCCAGCCACGCCGCGUGAGUGAAGAAGGUUUGCGGAUCGUAAAACACUUUAAGUUGAGAAGCGUUACCAACAGAAUAAGCAACGGCUAACUACGUGCCAGCAGCCGCGGUAAUUC
This 403-nucleotide ribosomal RNA is filed under the name uncultured bacterium. RNAcentral describes it as "partial 16S ribosomal RNA". It matches the Rfam family "Bacterial small subunit ribosomal RNA", at positions 28 to 526 of the family's 1533-position model. The record is from RNAcentral.